RNAcentral lists this transfer RNA (56 nucleotides) under Heterocephalus glaber (naked mole-rat). It matches the Rfam family "tRNA", at positions 8 to 63 of the family's 71-position model. Rfam says of the family: Transfer RNA (tRNA) molecules are approximately 80 nucleotides in length. Their secondary structure includes four short double-helical elements and three loops (D, anti-codon, and T loops). Further hydrogen bonds mediate the characteristic L-shaped molecular structure. tRNAs have two regions of fundamental functional importance: the anti-codon, which is responsible for specific mRNA codon recognition, and the 3' end, to which the tRNAs corresponding amino acid is attached (by aminoacyl-tRNA synthetases). tRNAs cope with the degeneracy of the genetic code in two manners: having more than one tRNA (with a specific anti-codon) for a particular amino acid; and 'wobble' base-pairing, i.e. permitting non-standard base-pairing at the 3rd anti-codon position. The record is from Rfam by way of RNAcentral. Lineage: Eukaryota; Metazoa; Chordata; Mammalia; Rodentia; Bathyergidae.
UAGCUCAAUGGUAGAGCUCGUCCUUUGCAUGUAUGAGGCCUGGGUUCAAUUCCCAG